UGCCCUAUGGCUCAGUUGGUUAGCGCGUGGAGCUGUUAUGUUGGUCUGUAUAUGCAGAUCGCUUGCGACUCCGAGGUCCACGGUUCGAGUCCGUGUGGGGCAG
Molecule: transfer RNA, 103 nt
Rfam family: tRNA
About the family: Transfer RNA (tRNA) molecules are approximately 80 nucleotides in length. Their secondary structure includes four short double-helical elements and three loops (D, anti-codon, and T loops). Further hydrogen bonds mediate the characteristic L-shaped molecular structure. tRNAs have two regions of fundamental functional importance: the anti-codon, which is responsible for specific mRNA codon recognition, and the 3' end, to which the tRNAs corresponding amino acid is attached (by aminoacyl-tRNA synthetases). tRNAs cope with the degeneracy of the genetic code in two manners: having more than one tRNA (with a specific anti-codon) for a particular amino acid; and 'wobble' base-pairing, i.e. permitting non-standard base-pairing at the 3rd anti-codon position.
Source: Rfam